This 463-nucleotide ribosomal RNA is filed under the name uncultured bacterium. RNAcentral's name for it is "partial 16S ribosomal RNA". It matches the Rfam family "Bacterial small subunit ribosomal RNA", at positions 339 to 795 of the family's 1533-position model. The record is from RNAcentral.
CUACGGGGCGCUCCAGUGGGGAAUAUUGCACAAUGGGCGCAAGCCUGAUGCAGCCAUGCCGCGUGUAUGAAGAAGGCCUUCGGGUUGUAAAGUACUUUCAGCGGGGAGGAAGGGAGUAAAGUUAAUACCUUUGCUCAUUGACGUUACCCGCAGAAGAAGCACCGGCUAACUCCGUGCCAGCAGCCGCGGUAAUACGGAGGGGGCAAGCGGUAAUCGGAAUUACUGGGCGUAAAGCGCACGCAGGCGGUUUGUGAAGUCAGAUGUGAAAUCCCCGGGCUCAACCUGGGAACUGCAUCUGAACUGGCACGCUUGAGUCUCGUAGAGGGGGGUAGAAUUCCAGGUGUAGCGGUGAAAUGCGUAGAGAUCUGGAGGAAUACCGGUGGCGAAGGCGGCCCCCUGGACGAAGACUGACGCUCAGGUGCGAAAGCGUGGGGAGCAAACAGGAUUAGAUACCCUAGUAGUC